Molecule: long non-coding RNA, 273 nt
Organism: Patella vulgata (common limpet)
Lineage: Eukaryota; Metazoa; Mollusca; Gastropoda; Patellidae
Exons: 3
Source: RefSeq, a predicted model, not a curated record
AUUAGGGUAUCAUGCAUAAGUCGAAACCAAUAUUUACAGCCCAGUUUCAUCCUGAAGCAUAUGGAGGACCGACAGAUACUGAGUUUUUAUUUGAUUAUUUUGUUGAUUUGAUAAAAACAAAGAAGAGUAAUGUAACCCAGGUGAUGAAGAAGGUCGUACCACCAACACAGAACAUUAAACCGGUAUCAAAAGUAUUAGUAUUGGGAAGUGGUGGUUUAUCUAUUGGUCAAGCUGGUGAAUUUGAUUACAGUGGAUCUCAGGCUAUUAAAGCUU